UGGUGUCCUUGGCAGAGGCAAAGAUGAGU
Molecule: non-coding RNA, 29 nt
Filed under: Mus musculus (house mouse)
Lineage: Eukaryota; Metazoa; Chordata; Mammalia; Rodentia; Muridae
Source: RNAcentral